AUUAACUUGUAAAAAUGUUAUUUAGUAGCUUUAAACAAUUAUUAUUUAUUGUUACAGACAAUAAGUAUGGCUAACCCUCGUAUUUUUUUUUUUUUUAAGCAAUUAAGAGAGCUAGUAUACACAUAUGACGUUGAGAUGUACACAAUAAAGCAAAAGGUGAUGAAACUCCGAAUGGUCCCCUUGCCUACACAAGUAUAGGUGCGAAGUGCAACCGCAACCCACACGGUGAUGACGACUCGAGAUUAAAUGGUCUCUCAUCUUUAUGUAUCAUCGUUAAAACCGGAAGUGCUCCAAAGGCCCCCCCCUCGAGCG
Long non-coding RNA from Copidosoma floridanum, 312 nucleotides. NCBI's taxonomy places the organism in Eukaryota, Metazoa, Arthropoda, Insecta, Hymenoptera, Encyrtidae. The record is from RefSeq and is a predicted model, not a curated record.